RNAcentral lists this long non-coding RNA (302 nucleotides) under Coturnix japonica (Japanese quail). RNAcentral describes it as "lncRNA (ENSCJPG00005013046.1)". Lineage: Eukaryota; Metazoa; Chordata; Aves; Galliformes; Phasianidae. The record is from RNAcentral.
AUGGAGAGACAGAUUAACCAGCAGUAUAGGCUGCAUCAAGGGCAGCCUGCCUCCUUUACCUCAUGCAGAGCUUCUUGGAAGCAUGCUCUACUUGGUUCAUUCUGGUUUGAGGUAUGGCAAUGGACAGCAGUGGUGGGUGGAAGAUAACACCUGUGUUGCUGCAGAUAUCUUCUCUAAACUCUUUGCAAAAUAAGGAUCCAUCAGCAAACUGACUAAGCUGGGACUUUUCUGCUGCAGCUCUUUUGGUGAUCUGUUUUGGCUUUUCAGUUUUUUUUGUUUAAUUUCAGUUCCCUAGUGCAGUG